GGGUAUAUAGCUCAGUGGUAGAGCAUGUGCUUGGUGUGCAUGAGGUCCUGGAUUCAAUCCCCAGUGCCUCUG
This is a transfer RNA of Camelus ferus (Wild Bactrian camel), 72 nucleotides long. It matches the Rfam family "tRNA". From Rfam's summary of the family: Transfer RNA (tRNA) molecules are approximately 80 nucleotides in length. The record is from Rfam. Lineage: Eukaryota; Metazoa; Chordata; Mammalia; Artiodactyla; Camelidae.